RNAcentral lists this ribosomal RNA (542 nucleotides) under uncultured bacterium. RNAcentral describes it as "partial 16S ribosomal RNA". It matches the Rfam family "Bacterial small subunit ribosomal RNA", at positions 355 to 887 of the family's 1533-position model. The record is from RNAcentral.
UAGGGAAUCUUCCACAAUGGACGCAAGUCUGAUGGAGCAACGGCCGCGUGAGUGAAGAAGGUUUUCGGACCGUAAAGCUCUGUUGUUGGUGAAGAAGGAUAGAGGUAGUAACUGGCCUUUAUUUGACGGUAAUCAACCAGAAAGUCACGGCUAACUACGUGCCAGCAGCCGCGGUAAAUCGUAGGUGGCAAGCGUUGUCCGGAUUUAUUGGGCGUAAAGCGAGCGCAGGCGGAAGAAUAAGUCUGAUGUGAAAGCCCUCGGCUUAACCGAGGAAUUGCAUCGGAAACUGUUUUCUUGAGUGCAGAAGAGGAGAGUAGAACUCCAUGUGUAGCGGUGGAAUGCGUAGAUAUAUGGAAGAAUACCAGUGGCGAAGGCGGCUCUCUGGUCUGCAACUGACGCUGAGGCUCGAAAGCAUGGGUAGCGAACAGGAUUAGAUACCCUGGUAGUCCAUGCCGUAAACGAUGAGUGCUAAGUGUUGGGAGGCUUCCGCCUCUCAGUGCUGCAGCUAACGCAUUAAGCACUCCGCCUGGGGGAGUACGACC